Molecule: long non-coding RNA, 490 nt
Organism: Protopterus annectens (West African lungfish)
Lineage: Eukaryota; Metazoa; Chordata; Ceratodontiformes; Protopteridae
Exons: 2
Source: RefSeq, a predicted model, not a curated record
AAAAAGGAAGGCAGUAGGAUGACAUGUCAUAAGUUUCGACAAGGUAAAGACAAAGAAGUAUCUCCUUUUUGAGAGUGAAAAGGUUAAAAGGAAGGCAGUAGGAUGACGUCAUAAGUUUCGACAAGGUAAAGACAAAGAAGUAUCUCCUUUUUGAGAGUGAAAAGGUUAAAAGGAAGGCAGUAGGAUGACAUGUCAUAAGUUUCAACAAGGUAAAGACAAAGAAGUAUCUCCUUUUUGAGAGUGAAAAGGUUAAAAGGAAGGCAGUAGGAUGACGUCAUAAGUUUCGACAAGGUAAAGACAAAGAAGUAUCUCCUUUUUGAGAGUGAAAAGGUUAAAAGGAAGGCAGUAGGAUGACAUGUCAUAAGUUUCGACAAGGUAAAGACAAAGAAGUAUCUCCUUUUUGAGAGUGAAAAGGUUAAAAGGAAGGCAGUAGGAUGACAUGUCAUAAGUUUCGACAAGGUAAAGACAAAGAAGUAUCUCCUUUUUGAGA